CUGGGUUCUGUUGUUGGCAACCAACAGAGUUGUUGUCUUUUCUCGCAUUCAUUAAAAUGCACAAGAAGAAAUUUCUAAUGGUGAGGGAGUACUUGCUUCAAAUUCAUACUUCAGUGAAAUAAACAACACCAUACAUAGGAAUGUGAAAGCAAAGUCAUCAUACACUGUUUGCUUCAUUGUAUGAGAAUCAAUGUUUGCAUGAUAAACUGCCCUAAUGGAAGAGGACUCUGAGUUACCUUUUUCGAGCAAAGCCACCUAGGUUACUCUGUUUUCCCCAGAGUGACCCUUCUGUUCUGCAAAAAUCUACUUAAAUGUACCAAUCACAGAGUCUUUUGGAACUUAAACAUCUUGACUCUUCUGUUUAAAGCCUAAAUCAACCUGAGAGAAGAGAUGAAACAACUGAGGGCCAAAAAGUUUACAAAAUUUUCCAAGAUCAUACAGCUAAUUAACAACAUCUGGGCUCUUCUUGACUUUUGGAAUCCAAAAGGUGCUACCAGCAUCCCAAGGUGUCCAGCUUGUAGACAGCCUGUCGUGGGACUUCUCAACCUCCAUAAUUGUAUAACCUCAAAGUAAUGGGAGAAGAUACACAAGUGAUCAUUGCCAGGACUGAAGACUGUUCCUAGGACUACUAUUUGGAUCAACAGAAGCUGAAAAUGAGAAUAUCAAAGGCUGGGCAGAUAGUUUCACUCACGGGCAUUGAUCAGGAUGGCUGGAGGUCACCUGCUGCAAGAAGCACUGUGUUUUCUGUGCAGCUUAAUGAGAGGGAGCAUAUCAUUUCAGGACUCUCACAGGAUGCAGUGUUACUGAGAAUCUCAUGAGGCAAAUCCUAAAUGCCAGGAUAAAUUUGCAGAGAUAGAACUACUACUUUUUUUUUUUAAAUUUCCUUUUGUUAUGACUUGAACGUGUAAGGUCAUGCUUCGAGCCUGCUAUCCUAUAGCUCUCAAUUCUAAACUAGUUGCAAGUAUAUUGGACUUCUUGCCCUGACCCCUGUCCCUUUGAUAGGCCAGGUGAAUCCAAAUAUGCCCGAGUGCAUCUCACAGAAUACAUCUGAUUCUAGGAUGGGACUAGAGGUCUCCUGGUAUUUAGAACUGCAAAAUGAGGUAGCAAAAGCUCUAGUCAUAUGCCUCCCAUUUAUUUGACAUAUCAUCACAAACAUGUCCAUAAUUUACCAAGGUUGAUCCACUGCCUACUACAUUUGUGUGUGAAAAUGUGUCAUGCUUUGUGGAAAAAGUGAAAAUAGUUAUCUGUAUGGUGGGUGCACUUUGAGUGACUGGGGUGGGGUAUGAGCACUGUCUUACAAAAAAGUCAAGAGUAAUAUCUGACAAAGAUACUGUCCUUUACCCUGGAUACCAACAGAUGUUCUUGUUUUCAUUCAAAAUUACAAUUAUCAUUGAAGUGCACAGUGGCUUUUAAUUGAGACAGAUAAAACGUAACUUCAAGUAUUGAAGUAAUUUUUUUUUACUGUUUUUAAGACAACUGAAGAUCUGAGCAAUUCUUGGCAUGACUUUUCUCCAUUCAGUUUAGAUUUUUGUGAUAAAAGGCGACUAUAAUAAAGAGAAUGGUAAAGGAAAAUAUCUAACAUGGAAUUUAUAUCUAAUCUUCUUGAAAGUUAUGAACACUUGUUAAUCCUUAAUUUCAACUCUUGAGAUUUCAUCUGAUUUGAGAUAUUCCU
RNAcentral lists this long non-coding RNA (1672 nucleotides) under Homo sapiens (human). RNAcentral's name for it is "HSALNT0313014". The record is from RNAcentral. Lineage: Eukaryota; Metazoa; Chordata; Mammalia; Primates; Hominidae.